This 2092-nucleotide long non-coding RNA is filed under the name Equus caballus (horse). RNAcentral describes it as "lncRNA (ENSECAG00000048321.1)". The stretch from base 193 to 382 matches the Rfam family "Deleted in lymphocytic leukemia 1 conserved region 1". Lineage: Eukaryota; Metazoa; Chordata; Mammalia; Perissodactyla; Equidae. The record is from RNAcentral.
CCCCCUUCUCUUCCUUUCCCGACGCUUCUGCUCAUGCGCAAACUCCUACCCCAACCCCCGCGCCUUGAACAUGCGCAGAAUCAUCGCUGUUCGCCGCUCUCCCUUCGCUUCCUCCGUCGCAGUCCUGUUUCUUUUCUUGCGCGUGCGUUCAGCUCCUUUGCUCAGCCGCGGAGGUGGAGGGACCACGAGGACUGCGGGCCCUAGGGUCCACAGAUGACAUAUCAGUCGAUAGGCAUGCAUUUACUGUUCGAGGGAAACAAAUAAGGGUGCAGCUUAGGCGAAAAGAAAAUCGUCUUAUUGCCAGUGUCUAAACUCCUAACGACGGAAUGUGUCUCUGAGACUAUGAGUGUGGAUACACGUGUACUUAAAACAGCCCCGCCUGUGUGCAGAGCUCUUGCUGUACGUCAACGCUUUACAGGAGCUAUCGCACUUAAGCCUCAGAACAACUUGAUGAGAAGUGCAACCAUGCAGUGCUUCUAUUAAAAACUGAGUAAUUGACAACAGUUUGAGGAUUACAGUGACAACUUACUCAAAGGAAAAAAUACUAAACUUCUGCCUUCGUUUGUGGAACUGCUAUCUUUCUUGUGUAAAAAUGUCCCUAUGAUGCACAACUCCAGAGAGCACCAUUUACAUUGUAUGCAUGUAAAUGGAAUUUCCUGAAGCAGUUAAGAGGCUACAGGAUUGGUUCCUGGAAGUGGAACUACUGUAUCAAAGAUUUGGAUGUUUUUAAGACCCCAGAAAGGUAUCCCUGGUUUCAAAAAAGAGGGGAAAGCAAGAUUUAAUCCUCUCCUGCCCUCAUCUCCCUUCUGAAUUUGAAUUUUUGGAAAGGUGCUUUCUUUGCCACUGAAGGAGUACACAGCCUCUUCAAUCUUAUAAAGGGACCAAACCAGCAACAUGCUUUCAUUCCUUAUAAAGGAAGCAGGAUUUACUAAUCUAAGUUAUAUACGCUAGGGACACCACUCUGUCUUUACUCACUCACUACUGUCCUUCAAAGCCUCCUCUUGCUCCUCCUCUUCCCCUAAAGAUGGGCGUUUCCCAGGGUUCUGGUUCUCAGACCUCUGCUCACUUGAUACACUUUGUGGUCCAUCUGAUCCAUUCGGCACCUACAUUUUAAGGACUCUCAAGAGCCAGACCUUACUUCCAACCUUCCUGGGAUAGUUCCCUGAUACCUCAAAUUCUAGAGGGACAAAACGGAGUUCCUCCUCCUGGACCUGAGGCCCACUCCUCCUACCAGUUCACACCCUAGACCAGAAAUCUGGCAAUCCCUUGCUCUUGCCCCUGCCCUACACUGCCAGUCAAUUUCCCAUUCCACUCACUCGUUUUAAAUUACUUUUCUUGAAUCCCUCUUCCCUCUAUCACCACUGCCACUAGGUACACAGCAGUGGUCCUCAUCCAUCCUUAUUUAGAUCACAGACUGUCUUAUAUUCCGUCUUCCAGUCUCCUGGACCCAACCAGUGUCAUCUUUUCAAAGACAUGUAACCUUUCUACACUUGAGCUUGCUUUUCCAUUUAAAAAAACCUUUUCGUGAUUCUCCAUUUCCUAUAGGUUUUAAUCCUGAGGCCCAAUAGUCAUUUACUCACAAAGCAGAGUAAACCCCGAGAAAUUGUCUGCAAAAUUUUAGUAUAGAUCUAGAGGUGCAUUUUUCUGAAGAGAGACCACAUUGCUUUCCAUAGAUUCUCAAAAGGGUAUGUGUCCCCAAAAAGGCUAAAACUUGUAGGUCUCACGCUAAAGUCCAAACUCUUCAGCAUGGAAUAUAAAGCCCUGGAUAACCUGGCCAUCCAUCCAGCUUCCUUUCUCAACCCCCUCUUCACUCCCCCCCCCCCCCACCCAUCCUUUGCUGGCUGUAGUUCUUCACCACAGGCCUUUGCACAUGCUGCCAUGCUUGCUCAGCUUGAGAUGCCCCUUCCUCUCUGCUUAGUUGACCUGGCUUUAGCCAUCAAGGAAACUACCUUCUUUGUUUCAAGAAACACCUGAGGUCGUGCUACCUACAGAAGGCUGUGCAGGCUAGGCAAGGUGUUAACUCUUGCCUCCCUGAAGCCAGCCUAGCAAUUGCUUUCUCUUAGCUUCUACCUGCCGGAUUUACAAACUUGGG